AUUGAACGCUGGCGGCAGGCCUAACACAUGCAAGUCGAACGGUAGCACAGAGAGCUUGCUCUCGGGUGACGAGUGGAGGACGGGUGAGUAAUGUCUGGGAAACUGCCCGAUGGAGGGGGAUAACUACUGGAAACGGUAGCUAAUACCGCAUAACGUCGCAAGACCAAAGUGGGGGACCUUCGGGCCUCACACCAUCGGAUGUGCCCAGAUGGGAUUAGCUAGUAGGUGGGGUAAUGGCUCACCUAGGCGACGAUCCCUAGCUGGUCUGAGAGGAUGACCAGCCACACUGGAACUGAGACACGGUCCAGACUCCUACGGGAGGCAGCAGUGGGGAAUAUUGCACAAUGGGUGCAAGCCUGAUGCAGCCAUGCCGCGUGUAUGAAGUAGGCCUUCGGGUUGUAAAGUACUUUCAGCGGGGAGGAAGGCGGUGAAGUUAAUAACUUCACCGAUUGACGUUACCCGCAGAAGAAGCACCGGCUAACUCCGUGCCAGCCGCCGCCGUAA
Molecule: ribosomal RNA, 504 nt
Filed under: uncultured bacterium
Lineage: Bacteria
Description: partial 16S ribosomal RNA
Rfam family: Bacterial small subunit ribosomal RNA
Source: RNAcentral